GCUGGGUGUGGUGGCACAUGCCUGUAAUCCCAACAGCUUGGGAGGCUGAGGCAGGAGGAUCAAAAGUUCAAGGCCUGCCUCAGCAAAUUAGCAAGUCCGUAAGCAACUCAGAGAGACUCUGUCUCUA
This 127-nucleotide small RNA is filed under the name Marmota monax (woodchuck). Lineage: Eukaryota; Metazoa; Chordata; Mammalia; Rodentia; Sciuridae. The record is from RNAcentral.